UUUUGAAAAUCUUAUGUAAAUAUAUGGUCCCAUCAAUAUCAUAAAUUAAUAAUUGUAUAAAUAUAUCAACUAU
RNAcentral lists this small RNA (73 nucleotides) under Arabidopsis thaliana (thale cress). Its description in RNAcentral is "ATSL195470". The record is from RNAcentral. Lineage: Eukaryota; Viridiplantae; Streptophyta; Magnoliopsida; Brassicales; Brassicaceae.